GCCUGGGUGGCUCAGUUGCUUGAGCAUCUGACUUCCGCUCAGGUCAUGAUGUCACGGUUUAUGGGUUUGAGUCCCAUGUUGGGUU
RNAcentral lists this transfer RNA (85 nucleotides) under Felis catus (domestic cat). It matches the Rfam family "tRNA". From Rfam's summary of the family: Transfer RNA (tRNA) molecules are approximately 80 nucleotides in length. Their secondary structure includes four short double-helical elements and three loops (D, anti-codon, and T loops). Further hydrogen bonds mediate the characteristic L-shaped molecular structure. tRNAs have two regions of fundamental functional importance: the anti-codon, which is responsible for specific mRNA codon recognition, and the 3' end, to which the tRNAs corresponding amino acid is attached (by aminoacyl-tRNA synthetases). tRNAs cope with the degeneracy of the genetic code in two manners: having more than one tRNA (with a specific anti-codon) for a particular amino acid; and 'wobble' base-pairing, i.e. permitting non-standard base-pairing at the 3rd anti-codon position. The record is from Rfam by way of RNAcentral. Lineage: Eukaryota; Metazoa; Chordata; Mammalia; Carnivora; Felidae. RNAcentral also lists the same sequence under 4 other names.